This 1125-nucleotide ribosomal RNA is filed under the name uncultured Alphaproteobacteria bacterium. RNAcentral describes it as "bacterial SSU rRNA". It matches the Rfam family "Bacterial small subunit ribosomal RNA", at positions 54 to 1241 of the family's 1533-position model. Lineage: Bacteria; Pseudomonadati; Pseudomonadota; Alphaproteobacteria. The record is from RNAcentral.
CAUGCAAGUCGAACGAAGGCCCGGAGCUUGCUCCGGAUCCCUUAGUGGCGAACGGGUGAGUAUCGCGUGGGAAUCUACCUAGAAGUGGGGAAUAACUGUUGGAAACGACAGCUAAUACCGCAUAAUCCCUUCGGGGCAAAGGCUUCGGCCGCUUUUAGAUGAGCCCGCGUUAGAUUAGGCUGUUGGUGAGGUAAUGGCCCACCAAACCUACAAUCUAUAGCUGGUCUGAGAGGAUGAUCAGCCACACUGGGACUGAGACACGGCCCAGACUCCUACGGGAGGCAGCAGUGGGGAAUAUUGGACAAUGGGGGAAACCCUGAUCCAGCAAUGCCGCGUGAGUGAUGAAGGCCUUAGGGUUGUAAAACUCUUUCAGAAGUGAAGAUGAUGACGGUAACUUCAGAAGAAGCUCCGGCUAACUCCGUGCCAGCAGCCGCGGUAAUACGGAGGGAGCUAGCGUUGUUCGGAAUUACUGGGCGUAAAGGGCGUGUAGGCUGUUAGGUAAGUCAGAGGUGAAAUCCCUAAGCUCAACUUAGGAACUGCCUUUGAUACUAUCUUACUAGAGAUCGAGAGAAGUUGGCGGAAUUCCAAGUGUAGAGGUGAAAUUCGUAGAUAUUUGGAAGAACACCAGUGGCGAAAGCGGCCAACUGGCUCGUAUCUGACGCUGAGACGCGAAAGCGUGGGUAGCAAACAGGAUUAGAUACCCUGGUAGUCCACGCCGUAAACGAUGAGUGCUAGCCGUUUGUGAUUAAUCACAAGUGGUGCAGCUAACGCGUUAAGCACUCCGCCUGGGGAGUACGAUCGCAAGAUUAAAACUCAAGGAGUUGACGGGGGCCCGCACAAGCGGUGGAGCAUGUGUUUAAUUCGACGCAACGCGAAGAACCUUACCAGGUCUUGACAUCCUGACUAUGGUUGUUAGAAAUAACUUCCUUCAGUUCGGCUGGUCAGUGACAGUGAUGCAUGCUGUCGUCAGCUCGUGUCGUGAGAUGUAGGGUAGUCCCGCACGAGCGCACCCUAUCUUCAGUGCAUCAGUAUGCUGGCACUCUGAAAGACUGCGUGAUAGCGAGAGCGGGAUGACGUCAGUCUCAUGCUUAUGACUGGCUACCACGUGCUACAUGGGCGGUGACA